RNAcentral lists this unclassified non-coding RNA (565 nucleotides) under Fusarium solani. RNAcentral describes it as "sequence contains 18S rRNA gene, ITS1, 5.8S rRNA gene, ITS2, 28S rRNA gene". The stretch from base 192 to 345 matches the Rfam family "5.8S ribosomal RNA". The record is from RNAcentral. Lineage: Eukaryota; Fungi; Ascomycota; Sordariomycetes; Hypocreales; Nectriaceae.
GUAACAAGGUCUCCGUUGGUGAACCAGCGGAGGGAUCAUUACCGAGUUAUACAACUCAUCAACCCUGUGAACAUACCUAAAACGUUGCUUCGGCGGGAACAGACGGCCCUGUAACAACGGGCCGCCCCCGCCAGAGGACCCCUAACUCUGUCUUUAUAAUGUUUUUCUGAGUAAACAAGCAAAUAAAUUAAAACUUUCAACAACGGAUCUCUUGGCUCUGGCAUCGAUGAAGAACGCAGCGAAAUGCGAUAAGUAAUGUGAAUUGCAGAAUUCAGUGAAUCAUCGAAUCUUUGAACGCACAUUGCGCCCGCCAGUAUUCUGGCGGGCAUGCCUGUUCGAGCGUCAUUACAACCCUCAGGCCCCCGGGCCUGGCGUUGGGGAUCGGCGGAAGCCCCCUGUGGGCACACGCCGUCCCUCAAAUACAGUGGCGGUCCCGCCGCAGCUUCCAUUGCGUAGUAGCUAACACCUCGCAACUGGAGAGCGGCGCGGCCAUGCCGUAAAACACCCAACUUCUGAAUGUUGACCUCGAAUCAGGUAGGAAUACCCGCUGAACCUAAGCAUAUCA